RNAcentral lists this ribosomal RNA (618 nucleotides) under uncultured bacterium. Its description in RNAcentral is "bacterial SSU rRNA". It matches the Rfam family "Bacterial small subunit ribosomal RNA", at positions 338 to 956 of the family's 1533-position model. The record is from RNAcentral.
CCUACGGGAGGCAGCAGUAAGGAAUAUUGGUCAAUGGAGGCAACUCUGAACCAGCCAUGCCGCGUGCAGGAUGAAGGCCCUAUGGGUCGUAAACUGCUUUUACACAAGGGAAAACCCGGUACGUGUACCGGGUUGAUAGUAUUGUGAGAAUAAGCAUCGGCUAACUUCGUGCCAGCAGCCGCGGUAAGACGAAGGAUGCAAGCGUUAUCCGGAUUCAUUGGGUUUAAAGGGUGCGUAGGCGGACUUGUAAGUCAGUGGUGAAAUCUCUUUGCUUAACAAAGAAACUGCCAUUGAUACUGCAGGUCUAGAGUAUAGAUGGCGUUGGCGGAAUAUGACAUGUAGUGGUGAAAUACUUAGAUAUGUCAUAGAACACCGAUUGCGAAGGCAGCUAACGAAACUAUAACUGACGCUGAGGCACGAAAGUGCGGGGAUCAAACAGGAUUAGAUACCCUGGUAGUCCGCGCCGUAAACGAUGAUUACUCGUUGUUGGCAAUAUGACCGUCAGCGACCAAGCGAAAGCGAUAAGUAAUCCACCUGGGGAGUACGCCCGGCAACGGUGAAACGUCAAAGUGAAGUUGACGCGNGAGAGACGACGACGACGACGACGGAGGGAGGAGG